This 84-nucleotide transfer RNA is filed under the name Microcaldota archaeon. RNAcentral describes it as "tRNA-Ser". It matches the Rfam family "tRNA". From Rfam's summary of the family: Transfer RNA (tRNA) molecules are approximately 80 nucleotides in length. Their secondary structure includes four short double-helical elements and three loops (D, anti-codon, and T loops). Further hydrogen bonds mediate the characteristic L-shaped molecular structure. tRNAs have two regions of fundamental functional importance: the anti-codon, which is responsible for specific mRNA codon recognition, and the 3' end, to which the tRNAs corresponding amino acid is attached (by aminoacyl-tRNA synthetases). tRNAs cope with the degeneracy of the genetic code in two manners: having more than one tRNA (with a specific anti-codon) for a particular amino acid; and 'wobble' base-pairing, i.e. permitting non-standard base-pairing at the 3rd anti-codon position. The record is from RNAcentral. Lineage: Archaea; Nanobdellati; Microcaldota.
GCUGAGGUCGCAUAAUCUGGUAGUGCGCCAGGUUGCUAACCUGGUGCUCGCAAGGGCUUGGGAGUUCAAAUCACCCCCUCAGCG